RNAcentral lists this small RNA (337 nucleotides) under Arabidopsis thaliana (thale cress). Its description in RNAcentral is "ATSL098190". Lineage: Eukaryota; Viridiplantae; Streptophyta; Magnoliopsida; Brassicales; Brassicaceae. The record is from RNAcentral.
AAGGAACAUAAUAUUGAAAGUCAGCUAUACUCUUGGCAAUGAAGUGUAUAAUUGGUUUCGACAACUAAGAUGUAGCAUUUUUUACAGACUUUUUAGAUUUGGUGAAGAUGGUAUCUUCUUCAACCGAAAAGGUCGGCGGUCUUAGUUUAUCUAGAGGAACUACAGAGCGACAAUGAAGAAUUCACAACCUUCUCUUUAUCUUUAAUUUCUCGUAAUGUGCAAAUGUAAAAACGGAUAAUUUGCGCGGAAAGUUUGCACUGAACCGCUUCAUGUCACUUAUGUAAACAACAUUCCUCAGGUUUGACUUGUUUGAGCUCUAAUAAAAAUUGGAUGACAA